CCACAGUUUGGGAUUAGGUCUUUUCAUGGGACCCCCAACUUGUUAAAGUUCUUAGGAUUCAGGAUGCUGCCCUUCCCACUGGUGCUGAGGCCUCCAUGCUGCGUUUCAAGGCCUGAAUGUACAUCCAUCAUGGCGUCAGCUUCACUAAGGCAUGACAGUCACCAGCCAUCGAUGGUACUGGAGCCCUUGAGCUGGAGCGAGCUGGAGCGAGCCGCACUGGGAUGCAAUACACCUGUAAAAGACACCGAGUUUAAUGGGUUGCUAUGAAAAAUGAAUGCAAGCAUACACAUCAAUCUCCAGCUUAAAUUAUAAUCUUGGACCAUUGGACUGAAUAAAAAUAGACGAUUAUAAUUAAUUUCACCUGCCUUUCUUCCCGCCCUCAUUGCUAUGGCUACUAGAAAAAUCUCACCCGCGUGUGUCAUCCCAUCUACGGCUCAAAUGUUGGGUCUGUCACUAAGUCAAUAAUAUUGGAGCAUCCAUCUUCUUCAGUCCUGUUGGCCCACAGACACUAUGUGAGAUCCGCAAGCCAGUCCUCCGGCCUCUGGGAGCCUCAUUAAGGAGAACAGCGUGACAUCCCUCCAGGGUUCAGUUCAGGGCGACAUGUGAACCGCACAUCGCCAUGACACCCAACCCAUGCUGGCCUCAGCUUGCUUCACUAAUCAAAACCUCAUGAUGCCAACGUUGUCGGGAUCCAUUCCACCCAUUGAUCUGCGCCCUCUUCAGCUGCCGUGGGAUCGGUUCCUAAAGACAAUCUCGGGAGCUCUGUGACGUCACACGAGGGAUGCCCUUACCAGAGAAGGGCUCAGGAGGAUCCCUGAGUCUCCACCCACCUCAGACCUGGAAAGAGCAAGAAACAGAGCAGACAGGAUACAGAGAUCCUGGGUCCAGACGCUCGAAGGCCAAUGGUUUGGCCUCACCUUGGGGCUGGCCGCCUCGGAUCACUCCACAAACCUGAGGAACACAAACGGAAGGCCUUUUCAGAAAGCCACUGCUGGAGAUGAGUCCCAGGGGCUGCUGUGGGGAACCUCUUCAGCCCCUCCCUACACCUGCAGCCUGAGAUGGAGUUCCCCAUAAGGAGCGAGGCGUGUCUCCCUGCUCACAGCCUCAGAACCUAAAAUCCCAGAACUUGGACGGAGGGGGAAAACUACCUUCAUUUGGAUCACUCCCGGUGCCCUUCCUUCUGCUAGGAACGAAGACCACGGACCACAGAGGCGGAGUGGUUCUGGGGCUUUAUCCUCAGUCAGGAUCAGAGAGACCUGCUGCCGGGUUGGAGCUAUUGAAACGAUUGACAAAUAGCACUGAUUCUUGUCAAUACCUCGGAGCAGCACAAACGCCUUCCUCCCCUGGGAGUGUGUUCUUUGACACAUCCGAGGAGAGGCCUGCCUGGUUACAGCAUCCCAGCCU
Molecule: non-coding RNA, 1404 nt
Organism: Peromyscus maniculatus bairdii (prairie deer mouse)
Lineage: Eukaryota; Metazoa; Chordata; Mammalia; Rodentia; Cricetidae
Source: RefSeq, a predicted model, not a curated record